Uranotaenia lowii is the source of this 4586-nucleotide long non-coding RNA. RefSeq lists it as uncharacterized. NCBI's taxonomy places the organism in Eukaryota, Metazoa, Arthropoda, Insecta, Diptera, Culicidae. The transcript is spliced from 5 exons. The record is from RefSeq and is a predicted model, not a curated record.
CUUCAAUUCACAAAUAAUAUACAUCGUUUGAAUUUACAACAUUGUAAAUUAUUUUCAAGUAAUUGUUAUGAAUACUUUGAAAAAUCGAUUAAUUUCAUCUGUCCAUGCGUUGCAUUUGGCGCAAUCAACAACCAUGUGGAGACAAAAUAACGACUCGAAGAACACGACCAUCAAGUGCGCAAUGCGUUUUCGAAUUUGGUUCACGAACCAGAAUCGCGAGGUUCGCGAGGUUUUCUGCCACGACUCGCUCAUGAUUUUCUUGCGAUCGGAUUACCCUCGAAAAAAAUCCCCCACAAUCGCGUGUUUGCUGAGUCGCGAACCUAAUACUGUGGUCAGAACUUUUGCGAACUAUGGGUGGUUUUGUUUCUUGGCUGCUCCGAUUUGAAUACGAUUUUUUUAGUCCCUGCAUGGGACUCAUAUGCGAAUAUUUUUCACAUGGGAUACAGGGGUCAUAUUUUUUUCGAAAUUUCGGGAACAAACUUCUAACAAAAACUUGUUUAUAGGUAAAUUGGAGCACAAAGAAGGGUUUUCCAUCGAUAACUCAAAAACGAUGAAAAUGCACAUGGGACUCAUAUGCGAACAGGGGCAGUCCAUAACAAUUAACGUUAUAACUUUUCUCGCUUUGCUUCUAUGAAGCUCAUUUCUUCAGCAUUUGUGAACAACAUGUUCUGCAUCACGUUGAACGUAACUUUAUCAGAAUUGAUUCAUUGCUGAUUUUUUUUAAAUUGAACAAUACGAAAAACCGUCCACACUUACCCCGGUGUACCUUUUUUUCGAAAAUAAUAUAAAAAUUAUUAGUUUACAGAUAUUCGGUUAUUUCUCUUACGAUAAUAAACUGAAAUCACUAAAAAAUAAUAACUCACACUCAGAAAUGAACAUAAUAUAAAAAUUAUUAGUUUUCAGGUAUUCGGUUAUUUCCCGCAUAAUCAAUAACCGUACAACGUAUCGUCAAUAUUAUACUGAUCUGAUAACGGUAAUCGUUGCUGUCCGUGGCUUCACUAAUCGUGUGUCCGAAAUCUUGUGUAUUCGCUAAAGAAUAUACAAAAUGAUUUCCAAAAGAUACGGUUAAUGGUUGAAAAAAAAAAAUAACACGCAUCUGAUAGCAUUGCGUCUUCACUAUACAGAAGAAGUGUCUUGGAUGAAGAAGUUAUUGCGUCACUUCAAAACUUCUAAAAGAAUCCGGAAAGAAAAACCUAUUUCUUUACGAAAUACCCGAAUCGCUCGACUCACAGCGGAAGUGACUGCAUGCCCCCGCUGGCACCGAAUGUUGAGCUACGAUUUCUUGGUCAGAUCAAAGCCAGAAAGUCAGAAAAAACUGUUCUCUCACUGGAAGCCCCAAACCGUACAACACCAAAUGACACCGAAAAUAACCCCGGAAUUUACCUCUUCAUUUGAAAAUUUGUUAUCUUCCAAUGCUGCUGAACCGGUGGUGCCGGAACGAGCAGUUAUCGCUGUUAUUCACAAAAUCCACAUGACCUCAACCAAAUUGAUUAGAUUUGUUAAGAUCUCCAGGCAGCAGCUAUAUCAAAAAGUCAAAAAGAGAUUUUUCAAAAUCAUCUUAAUACCGGAAGCAUUACCUCGACGGUGUACUUUUUUAGAUGUCAGCAAAUUUUCUUUGGCUCUGGCGAUUGAGGAAUGGCUUAACCGCAAAAAAUCAAGAAUUCGCUACAAGGUCCAGACCUAAAUCCAUCACCUAAAUUCCGACAAAGAAUGUGGAUAAUUGGAAUUUCAUACCAACGAAAAAUGAAGGCCCAGACGAGGCGUUACGGAAGGCAUUCCUGAACGAUCCGCCAGAUCACACAGUGCUCCGAUGCACCUAGAAUUUCCGGCCACAUGUGCGGAAAAAUGCCUCUUCAUAUGCUCCAAAUGAAAAUGGAAACUCUUCCCUACGCCCAUGAAAAAAGUUGCGGAGCUGUUCGUGGGGCUGCUGAAAAUUUUCUGCUCAAACUGCUGGAGCGAGAUUUGAACCUUCAAGCUAGCAACGGGAAAGUCACCCUCGAUGCAGCAGAAGAGACCUUAUUAAAGCCAAUGACGCGAACAGUCAUCAACAACACAAACUUAAAAAUAGAACAAAAUAGUAGCUGGGAAACAUUCGGUGACCAAACAUACUUCAACCGGAUGUGGAAUAAUAUCGUUGAGGGUGGAAAUCGAAAAUUGUUUGAUUCAAGCAGCGUUUCAAUUUUUGUCCUAAGUAAGUUCUCAUACGGGAACCAAGAUGCAAGAAUCGGAAGUGUGACGAUGAUUACAACAUCAUCCGCUGUCAUUAUCCAAUUUCAUCGAGGCAAAACACAACCGACAGAAGCACUUAGGAGGAAGACAAUCGCGGACUCUAUGACCCAUAGGUGGAAAAAGAUGGAAUGUGUACCGGCCUACAGCACCAUGCACCAAUAAGUUUUCCGAAUUUGUCUAUACCUCCCUGACACCGUAGAAGAAUCAGAAGCAGCGGCACACGGAAUUUGAUAAAAUGUUAAUUUUGAAAAGUGUACAACUAGGCUUAAACUUAUUUUUUGAAAAAAAAAAAAUGAUUUUAACAUUCGGCGACCAAACAUACUUCAACCGGAUGUGGAAUAAUAUCGUUGAGGGUGGAAAUCGAAAAUUGUUUGAUUCAAGCAGCGUUUCAAUUUUUGUCCUAAGUAAGUUCUCAUACGGGAACCAAGAUGCAAGAAUCGGAAGUGUGACGAUGAUUACAACAUCAUCCGCUGUCAUUAUCCAAUUUCAUCGAGGCAAAACACAACCGACAGAAGCACUUAGGAGGAAGACAAUCGCGGACUCUAUGACCCAUAGGUGGAAAAAGAUGGAAUAUGUACCGGCCUACAGCACCAUGCACCAAUAAGUUUUCCGAAUUUGUCUAUACCUCCCUGACACCGUAGAAGAAUCAGAAGCAGCGGCACACGGAAUUUGAUAAAAUGUUAAUUUUGAAAAGUGUACAACUAGGCUUAAACUUAUUUUUUGAAAAAAAAAAAAUGAUUUUAAAGCUAGUUUUGAUUAUAAAUUUUAGUCUUUUUAUCAACACUACACGAUAUGCUGUAUCGUUAUUUUUCAUAUGAGACGAUCAUAUCGUAAAGAUUCCACGUAUGAUACAACUCGCUCCAGAGCGAUUAGAAAAAGUCAAAAAAAAUGAAUCGUUUAUUUACUUAACAACCCGUUCCCUGUAUCGGUAUUCGUGUCUAAACGAUUCCAUUUCAUGAAAAAACGAUUAAUAUAAUCGUUCAUUAAUAAUCCAAAAACGAUAAAGGGAAUCUUUUCGGUGUCUUGGGAAGAAGAUAAUGGGGAUCGUUAUUGUAUGAUACUGCUCCAUGCGGGUUCUCUGACGAUAAUAAACUGAAAUCACUAAAAAAAAAAAAUGACUCACGAUCAUUUCUAGCCAAGAAACGAUCCAAUGCAUAAAAUUUAACAACCGCGAGAUAUUUCUUUACAAAACAAACGCUUCCCAGGCAACCACUAAGCACUGUUAUAAGCCGUUUAACAGACGCAUAACAGCAUUUCAGUGCCUAUUGGCUUUAAUUUAGAUUUACAAAUGCCAGAAGGCUCUGUGACAUUCAAAUGACACAUAAGCCCUGUAUAAGCUAAGUGAGUUGAUAUCAGAGCUUAUAACCGGCCUGGAGGUGACGUUUUCAAUAUAAAUAAACAAAAAUCAACAUUAGAUGAAGUCAGUGAAUUCUUCCGGCGGUUUGUUUUUUUGCAAUGCUUCGGAUAAACCACAAAAAGCUACUGCGUGCUGUCCUCCCGGACGGCCCUCCUUGCUGCUGCUACUCCUGUUGGCGGCCUCUUGCUGGACAGCGACCUCGAUCACUGCUGCUACCGCUCAUUGGUGGUCUCUUGCUGCUGCUUCUCCUGGUAUCGGCUUCCCAUUGUUGUUGUUCCUGCGUGCUGUCCUUUCCGACGACCCUCCUCGCUGCCGCCAAUUCGGUUUGCAUCUCCUCAUCUCGGUCGGUGGCCUCAUCGCCGGUGCUACUUCCUGGCGGAGAUAUAUAUGGAACUGAUGGCAUGAACAACGAAGGAGCUGAUCGCGCGAUUGCUGUUGAAUCUGCGGUUAGUCAAAAAAAGGCCAAAGGAUCUGUGCCCGAAAAAACAGUGUCUGAAGUGAAGUGAGUUCUGAAGCGAGUUUAGGCUUCUACGGUGUAAAUUGUUCUGUUCUAGUGAUUGUUCGAAAAAAAAAAACUGAGAAUAUAUCGGUUGGAAAAGAAAAUUAUAUAGUGAAAAAUGUUUUUUUUUUUAACAAUUCUUUAUUUGAAACGGCUCAUACCUUUAGGCUUUAAGGAGCCAAAAUCGAUUUUGUUGUUUACAAUUGUUUUCUUAACUUAACACUUUGUGAGAGAAGAAAGGAAGAUAGAAAGGGAAAUAUGAAAAUAAAAAAGAAAUUAUAGACGAAGAUCGAUAGCUUUUAGAAAAAGGUAGAUUUCGAACAUGUAGUCCAAAUCUAGCACAGCUAGUACAUCUCUAACUGGAACAUUAGGUGGUUUUCCUCGGGCCCUAGUGAAAAAUGUUUUUGAAAUAAAUUAAAAAUUUAACACGUCAUACGCAUGAAUGUUUUCUUUCUUUCCUUCCAUCAUUCGUAUCUCGACUUAAAUUAUAAAAAGUUCAUA